CGCGCUCCGGAAGAGUCAGACGAAGACCUGGGUUGCCCCAGACCCAAAAUCCGGCGAUUGGAGCAUUCAAGGAGCUUCGGACUACAAGCAGUUCCUUUGGCCACGCCAGCAAAGGUGGAAGCAGAGAAGCCAGUCCCUAGACGUGCUCCCAAGAGAAAGCGCACUCCGGAAGACUCAGACGAAGACCUGGGUUGCCCCAGACCCAAAAUCCGGCGACUGGAGCAUGGUGCCAGGAGGUAGACCCCACAGCAUCUUGCUGGCUGAGGCACUCUGAAGAGAGGGCAAUGGUUUAACUGCCUAAGGCAGCGAAUGCCUCUUCCUGCAGUGACCCACCCCGUCCCCCCACUGCCCACUGCCACAGAUCACAACCUGCGUCGUUCUGUUUGAGCCUUCCUCAGCCAGAAGCCUCCUGCCACACUAAAUGGCCAAAAGCAAGGAGCCUCAGAAACUGAGGUUUGAAAUGAGAGUCUGCCCUGAACAUCCCAGGGCUGAAGCUGGCCUGGAAGAAAACGUGACGUUCCUCUGCUCAAUCCUCAGGGGCCCCUUUGUCAGCUGAAGACAGAAAAGUCUGCACUCUGCGAGCCGAGAAGAAUGCAGGAGCAGAGACAGGGUGCAGAGAAGCCUUAGCAGUCUACCACAUGGGCUCCUGCUCUGAGCCAUUGUCAGCGGCCACCACCACAAACCAGGGGGGAGCUGGGUUUUUUGAAACUGAAAGCAGCAAUCUGUGGCUUCCCAAAGAGCCUCCUGCCUGGGGUCUCAGGAGGCAGGAUAGAGAGACCCAGGAAGACCUGCUCCCUGAAGCAAGACCAGGAUGGAGAGUCAAGCAGCACGCACCCUGCCCCGAGAAACUCUCUCUUCCCCCACACCAGCCCACAUGGCCCCGUACCGGGAAACCAGGAGCCCAGAGCACCUAUGGCCGCAGAGACACUGGCACGCAGCCCUCGGAGUGGGCGGGGCCGGCUGCAGGCAGAUGGGGACGCGGUGUGCUCCCGGGAGGCCUCGGGCUGAAGGUGGCCCUCUGAGAGAAGCGGCCCAGCUUGGCCAGGAAGGUUAGAGGCGGGGGAGAGCAGCCUAGGGCACCCCCUCGGAGCAGUGGGAGUGGGAAGAGGCGCAGGGGCGGAGGGAAGCCACGACGGGAGGCGAGUGGGCUCUCAGCAGAGGCCAGCUUAGCCCGCGGGAGCUGCCUCUGAGCAGGGGGCGGGAGGGCAGUGCCGCCCCGGGGCUGCCGGGCUUCGCGGAUCGCGGCUCUCCGCACACGGCUCGCAGGGCCCUGUGACUCUGUAUCCCCUCCCUCACCCCGCCCCCCUCGCGA
This is a long non-coding RNA of Balaenoptera ricei (Rice's whale), 1312 nucleotides long. RefSeq lists it as uncharacterized. The transcript is spliced from 3 exons. The record is from RefSeq and is a predicted model, not a curated record. Lineage: Eukaryota; Metazoa; Chordata; Mammalia; Artiodactyla; Balaenopteridae.